This 978-nucleotide long non-coding RNA is filed under the name Nicotiana benthamiana. RNAcentral describes it as "long non-coding RNA (NBEN_LNC005232)". Lineage: Eukaryota; Viridiplantae; Streptophyta; Magnoliopsida; Solanales; Solanaceae. The record is from RNAcentral.
UUGUAAUAUGUUUAUCUAAUUUCUAGCAAUUUUUUGUAUCAUGAAUGAUGUAUGUUCUGUCAAUUCUCUCCAUCUCUUUUUGAGUAGAUAUAUAUACCUGUGUACACAUAUUUUGCUGUCUCGGGCACAUCCCUAUUUCUUUGGCAUAUGGAAACUUGAAAUUGUUGGGGGUUUAUAUUCUCUACUCUUUGGUAAAUAACAUUUUGAUGACACAAUGAUUGACGCAUCAAUUUGGAUUUACAUGGUUAAUUGUGUGGUCUCAGGUGGUGAGAUGAAUGGGUUUCAGAAUGGUAAAAAUAGCAAUCUUGAUAAACCUUUUCCAGGAUGCUUGGGACGAAUGGUGAACCUUUUCGAUUCGAAUUCUGGGGUGGAUGGAAACAGGAUGCUUACAGAUAAACCACAUGGUGAUAAUAAAUUUCUUUGCUAUAUACUUCUCAAUGGUGAACCUUUUCGAUUUGAAUUCUGGGGUGGCAGGAAACAGGAUGCUUACAGAUAAACCACAUGGUGAUAAUAAAUUUCUUUGCUAUAUACUUCUCUGUUCUCUCUAAUGUUCCAUAUUUGGAUUUUGAAUCCUUUAUUGAGAACCACAUAAACAAGACACUCCGCGGUAAUGAUUGUUUUGUAGAUAAAAACACUAUUGUAGUUUCACUUGGAAUAUCUUUUUGUUAAGUAGUGGCAACUAGAACAUUUUUGCGGAAUUGAUUCGUCAAACUAAGGAAUAGUGCAUCAAUAGUAUUGUUUGCAGAAGACUAGUCAAAUUGCCUAUCAAGUUCAAAAAGAUAUUUUGGAUGUAAUGGGUAUUAUGAAAUGUGACUCCUCUAUCUGGAGCUUUUUUCAUUUUCCAUAAACAAAGUUCCUGCAAUAACGGCCAGAUCUAGUUUGAAUUCAUACAGUAUUCGAGUAUUUGUUUAUAUUGUUUCUGCAUCCUCUAACCGUGAAACUGAAUCUUCGUGUUGACUUGGUCCAUCUUACUGCAGG